This 492-nucleotide ribosomal RNA is filed under the name uncultured bacterium. RNAcentral describes it as "partial 16S ribosomal RNA". It matches the Rfam family "Bacterial small subunit ribosomal RNA", at positions 29 to 507 of the family's 1533-position model. The record is from RNAcentral.
AGUGAACGCUGGCGGUAGGCCUAACACAUGCCAGUCGAACGGCAGCACAGUAAGAGCUUGCUCUUACGGGUGGCGAGUGGCGGACGGGUGAGGAAUACAUCGGAAUCUACUUUUUCGUGGGGGAUAACGUAGGGAAACUUACGCUAAUACCGCAUACGACCUACGGGUGAAAGCAGGGGAUCUUCGGACCUUGCGCGAUUGAAUGAGCCGAUGUCGGAUUAGCUAGUUGGCGGGGUAAAGGCCCACCAAGGCGACGAUCCGUAGCUGGUCUGAGAGGAUGAUCAGCCACACUGGAACGGAGACAGGGUCCAGGGUACUACGGGAGGCAGCAGUGGGGAAUAUUGGACAAUGGGCGCAAGCCUGACCCAGCCAUACCGCGUGGGUGAAGAAGGCCUUCGGGUUGUAAAGCCCUUUUGUUGGGAAAGAAAAGCAGCAGGUUAAUACCCCGCUGUUCUGACGGUACCCAAAAAAUAAGCACCGGCUAACUUCGUG